CCAUCCUACGGGACGCAGCAGUGAGGAAUAUUGGUCAAUGGCCGAGAGGCUGAACCAGCCAAGUCGCGUGAGGGAUGACGGCCCUACGGGUUGUAAACUUCUUUUAUAUGGGAAUAAAGUUUUCCACGUGUGGAAUUUUGUAUGUACCAUAUGAAUAAGGAUCGGCUAACUCCGUGCCAGCAGCCGCGGUAAUACGGAGGAUCCGAGCGUUAUCCGGAUUUAUUGGGUUUAAAGGGAGCGUAGGUGGAUUGUUAAGUCAGUUGUGAAAGUUUGCGGCUCAACCGUAAAAUUGCAGUCGAAACUGG
Molecule: ribosomal RNA, 305 nt
Filed under: uncultured bacterium
Lineage: Bacteria
Description: bacterial SSU rRNA
Rfam family: Bacterial small subunit ribosomal RNA
Source: RNAcentral